Molecule: ribosomal RNA, 404 nt
Filed under: uncultured bacterium
Lineage: Bacteria
Description: partial 16S ribosomal RNA
Rfam family: Bacterial small subunit ribosomal RNA
Source: RNAcentral
AUUGAACGCUGGCGGCAGGCCUAACACAUGCAAGUCGAGCGAGCGGCGGACGGGUGAGUAAUGCCUGGGAAUUGCAAAGUCGAGGGGGAUAACAGUUGGAAACGACUGCUAAUACCGCAUACGAUUGGAUUGCCCAGGUUGGAUGAGCUAGUUGGUGAGGUAAUGGCUCACAAAGGCGACGAUCCCUGGCCGGUCUGAGAGGAUGAUCAGACAAACUGGAACUGAGACACGGUCCAGCCUCCUACGGGAGGCAGCAGUGGGGAAUAUUGCACAAUGGGUGAAACCCUGAUGCAGCCAUGCCGCGUGUGUGAAGAAGGCCUUCGGGUUGUAAAGCACUUUCAGCGAGGAGGCGUUACUCGCAGAAGAAGCACCGGCUAACUCCGUGCCAGCAGCCGCGGUAAUUC